Molecule: transfer RNA, 71 nt
Filed under: Graphis lineola
Lineage: Eukaryota; Fungi; Ascomycota; Lecanoromycetes; Ostropales; Graphidaceae
Description: tRNA-Cys
Rfam family: tRNA
About the family: Transfer RNA (tRNA) molecules are approximately 80 nucleotides in length. Their secondary structure includes four short double-helical elements and three loops (D, anti-codon, and T loops). Further hydrogen bonds mediate the characteristic L-shaped molecular structure. tRNAs have two regions of fundamental functional importance: the anti-codon, which is responsible for specific mRNA codon recognition, and the 3' end, to which the tRNAs corresponding amino acid is attached (by aminoacyl-tRNA synthetases). tRNAs cope with the degeneracy of the genetic code in two manners: having more than one tRNA (with a specific anti-codon) for a particular amino acid; and 'wobble' base-pairing, i.e. permitting non-standard base-pairing at the 3rd anti-codon position.
Source: RNAcentral
GGGAUAUAGACAGACUGGCUAUGUAAUUGAUUGCAGAUCAAAGUAAUGAGGUUCGAAUCCUUAAUAUCCCU